GAAAUCAAUUGAUUUAUUUUGUUUCAUUUCAGUGGUUUUAUAGUCUUUAAAUUAUACUAGCUAUAAGUAGCUGACAUUUCGUUCUCUGGGCUGAUAAUCAUAAAACCACUUAAGUUAAGAAUUUAAUUUAUCAUAGGACAUGUAGAAAAAUCAGUCCUUUCGGAACACAACUUAACUAUAGUACCUUUAUGCAUACGGGCC
This 201-nucleotide long non-coding RNA is filed under the name Mytilus galloprovincialis (Mediterranean mussel). Lineage: Eukaryota; Metazoa; Mollusca; Bivalvia; Mytilida; Mytilidae. The record is from RNAcentral.